Molecule: ribosomal RNA, 429 nt
Filed under: Acidobacteriota bacterium
Lineage: Bacteria; Pseudomonadati; Acidobacteriota
Description: Acidobacteria bacterium partial 16S ribosomal RNA
Rfam family: Bacterial small subunit ribosomal RNA
Source: RNAcentral
UGGGGAAUUUUGGACAAUGGGGGAAACCCUGAUCCAGCCAUCCCGCGUGUGCGAUGAAGGCCUUCGGGUUGUAAAGCACUUUUGGCAGGAAAGAAACGUCAUGGGUUAAUACCCCGUGAAACUGACGGUACCUGCAGAAUAAGCACCGGCUAACUACGUGCCAGCAGCCGCGGUAAUACGUAGGGUGCAAGCGUUAAUCGGAAUUACUGGGCGUAAAGCGUGCGCAGGCGGUUCGGAAAGAAAGAUGUGAAAUCCCAGAGCUCAACUUUGGAACUGCAUUUUUAACUACCGGGCUAGAGUGUGGCAGAGGGAGGUGGAAUUCCGCGGGGAGCAGUGAAAUGCGUAGAUAUGCGGAGGAACACCGAUGGCGAAGGCAGCCUCCUGAGAUAACACUGACGCUCAUGCACGAAAGCGUGGGGAGCAAACAGG